RNAcentral lists this ribosomal RNA (996 nucleotides) under Triticum aestivum (bread wheat). RNAcentral's name for it is "partial small subunit ribosomal RNA". The record is from RNAcentral. Lineage: Eukaryota; Viridiplantae; Streptophyta; Magnoliopsida; Poales; Poaceae.
AUGCAAGCAUGCGACGUACCUCCCCGUCCUCCUCCUCUGCCAGCAUUAAUGGCAAACCUAACUACCUCCCCCUCCUGCGUAGACACAGCCUGUGAGCUCACCCUCUCUACGACCCCUGUCCAUAAGCGAAACGCCGUGAACCGCGGCCCUGCUCUCUGCCCUCCCUAUGAAAGCCCUACCCCAAACCCACUCGAGAGCUCGCCGCUCACCUCUUCGCCCUCAUCCACGCUCCCCGAGCCAAGUCCCAUCGCCGCGGCGCCAGUACAUGCUCCCUCCUACCGCGACGUGCUGCUCUCUCCCCAAAAAAUGCAGCGGUGCCCCGCUCCCAGCCCUCGCUCGCCCGCUGCGCCAUCCGCUCCCCCGCCUCUUUAUCAGCGACCUCACCUCACCACUCCCCCCCACAUCCGUUCUAGACCUUUGUGUUUUCGUUGCCUUGCUCCAGACCACCUAGUCCAAGCUUGUCGUGAUCCCAUCCGCUGCUCUCGCUGUGGUGGUUCUGGCCAUCGUAGCUACCAGUGCACCUCCAACCUCCCCCUAGCCCUCCAACGCCUUCGUCUCCUCCACCGAAACCCUCCCAUGGCUGACGACAACCCCAACGUCCUCGUCAUCGGCUCCCACCGCCUCACCCUGCUGCACCCCCUCACCACCUCGCCGCGUUCGCCUCGCUCUGCCUCGUCGGACAACGACUCUGCUCCCCUGUCCCAGCGUGGAUCCUCCGGCAUCCGCGGGCCAGUCCGCCCGCCUUCAUCUGCUUCGUCCCCGGCCUUCUCUCCUGGCCGCGCGCACUCUACGUAUCCGGACAUCUUCGUCCCCACCAGCCUCCUCCACGACGUUGGGCUCUUCUGCUUCGCCCACCUAGACCACGUCAUGGCGGAGCCGUACGACCUCAUCCACCACGCCGUCAAGUUCUACGCCGGCUUACAUCCUUUUCCUUUGCGGCUACGACGGGGUGUGCGGCCCUUCUCGUCUUUGACUCCAACGAGGACCGUGAGCUGA